GACGAACGCUGGCGGCAUGCUUAACACAUGCAAGUCGAACGGAAAGGCCCUGCUUUUGUGGGGUGCUCGAGUGGCGAACGGGUGAGUAACACGUGAGUAACCUGCCCUUGACUUUGGGAUAACUUCAGGAAACUGGGGCUAAUACUGGAUAGGAGCUCCUGCUGCAUGGUGGGGGUUGGAAAGUUUCGGCGGUUGGGGAUGGACUCGCGGCUUAUCAGCUUGUUGGUGGGGUAGUGGCUUACCAAGGCUUUGACGGGUAGCCGGCCUGAGGGGGUGACGGGCACGCAGGGGGCUACGACACGCCCCAAGACGAAAGGGGAGGCAGAGGGGGGAAAUAUGGUGCAGGGGGGGGAACCGUGGGGGGCGAACGCCCGGGGGGGGACGAGGGCCUUCGGGUUGAAACCCGCUUUCCCCUGGGAGGAGGGUGGGGGGAGGGUACUGGUGAAAAAACAACCGCCAACGUAGGG
RNAcentral lists this ribosomal RNA (467 nucleotides) under uncultured bacterium. RNAcentral's name for it is "partial 16S ribosomal RNA". It matches the Rfam family "Bacterial small subunit ribosomal RNA", at positions 28 to 507 of the family's 1533-position model. The record is from RNAcentral.